CGGCAACAGCUCAAAUUUGAAAUCUGGCCUCUUUUGGGGUCCGAGUUGUAAUUUGUAGAGGAUGUUUUGGGUACCGCACUGGUUUAAAUUUCUUGGAACAGAAUGUCAGAGAGGGUGAGAAUCCCGUCUU
RNAcentral lists this ribosomal RNA (130 nucleotides) under Herpotrichiellaceae sp. Its description in RNAcentral is "partial large subunit ribosomal RNA". It matches the Rfam family "Eukaryotic large subunit ribosomal RNA", at positions 99 to 227 of the family's 3401-position model. Lineage: Eukaryota; Fungi; Ascomycota; Eurotiomycetes; Chaetothyriales; Herpotrichiellaceae. The record is from RNAcentral.